Molecule: ribosomal RNA, 959 nt
Filed under: uncultured candidate division CAB-I bacterium
Lineage: Bacteria
Description: bacterial SSU rRNA
Rfam family: Bacterial small subunit ribosomal RNA
Source: RNAcentral
GAGUUUGAUUCUGGCUCAGGAUGAACGCACAAGACGUGCCUAACACAUGCAAAUCGAAUGAAAAUAAUUAAUUAUUGUUUUCAUGGUGAACGGGUGAGUAACACAUAAGAAUCAGCUUUUAGAUAAGGCAUAAAAGAGUAAUAUCUUGGUAAUUCCUUAUAUGCGCAGCAGUGCUUAAAAAGGGGAGUCCCGUCUAAAAACGAGCUUAUGCCUGAUUAGCUAGUUGGCGAGUUAAAAGCUCACCAAGGCGAAGAUCAGUAGCUGGCCUGAGAGGGCGGCCAGCCACAUUGGGACUGAGACACGGCCCAAACUCCUACGGGAGGCAGCAGUGGGGAAUCUUCUGCAAUGGGCGCAAGCCUGACAGAGCGGCGUCGUGUGAAGGAAGAAGGCCUGAAAUAGGUUGUAAACUUCUUUUACUGAGUAAUGAAUAAUGACAACGCAGUAAAAAAGUAUCGGCUAACUCCGUGCCAGCAGCCGCGGUAAUACGGGGGAUGCAAGCGUUAUCCGGAAUAACUGGGCGUAAAGCGUCUGUAGGUGGUUUAGUGUGUUCUUAGUUAAAUUCUGAAGCCUAACUUCAUGAAAAGUAAGAAAACUAUUAGACUUGAGUACGAUAGGGGUAAGAGGAAUUCUUCGAGAAGUAGUGAAAUGUGAAGAUACGAAGGAGAAGAUCAUAAGCGAAGGCUUCUUACUGGGUCGUAACUGACACUGAGAGACGAAAGCUAGGGGAGCGAAUGGGAUUAGAUACCCCAGUAGUCCUAGCUGUAAACGAUGGAUAUUCGGUGCCGGAAAUUUUAUUAGAACAUUUCGGUACCCUAGCUAACGCGUUAAAUAUCCCGCCUGAGGAGUACGCUCGCAAGGGUGAAACUCAAAGGAAUUGACGGGGGCUCGCACAAGCGGUGGAGCAUGUGGUUUAAUUCGAUGCAAAGCGAAGAACCUUACCAGGGCUUGACAGUAUGUAU